CCUUGACAUACUAAGAACUUUCCAGAGAUGGAUUGGUGCCUUCGGGAACUUAGAUACAGGUGCUGCAUGGCUGUCGUCAGCUCGUGUCGUGAGAUGUUGGGUUAAGUCCCGCAACGAGCGCACCUUUCCUAUUUGCCAGCGGGUCAUGCCGGGAACUUUAAGGAUACUGCCAGUGACAAACUGGAGGAAGGCGGGGACGACGUCAAGUCAUCAUGGCCCUUACGGCCAGGGCUACACACGUGCUACAAUGGUCGGUACAAAGGGUUGCUACCUCGCGAGAGGAUGCUAAUCUCAAAAAGCCGAUCGUAGUCCGGAUCGCAGUCUGCAACUCGACUGCGUGAAGUCGGAAUCGCUAGUAAUCGCGGAUCAGAAUGCCGCGGUGAAUACGUUCCCGGGCCUUGUACACACCGCCCGUCACACCAUGGGAGUUUGUUGCACCAGAAGUAGGUAGUCUAACCGCAAGGAGGACGCUUACCACGGUGUGGCCGAUGACUGGGGUGAAGUCGUAACAAGGUAAGCGUAGAUGA
Molecule: ribosomal RNA, 527 nt
Filed under: uncultured bacterium
Lineage: Bacteria
Description: bacterial SSU rRNA
Rfam family: Bacterial small subunit ribosomal RNA
Source: RNAcentral